RNAcentral lists this ribosomal RNA (472 nucleotides) under uncultured bacterium. Its description in RNAcentral is "bacterial SSU rRNA". It matches the Rfam family "Bacterial small subunit ribosomal RNA", at positions 328 to 793 of the family's 1533-position model. The record is from RNAcentral.
CUCUGUGACUCCUACGGGAGGCAGCAGUGGGGAAUAUUGCACAAUGGGGGAAACCCUGAUGCAGCCAUGCCGCGUGUGUGAAGAAGGCCUUCGGGUUGUAAAGCACUUUCAGUAGGGAGGAAGGUAGUGUAGUUAACACCUGCAUUAUUUGACGUUACCUACAGAAGAAGCACCGGCUAACUCCGUGCCAGCAGCCGCGGUAAUACGGAGGGUGCGAGCGUUAAUCGGAAUUACUGGGCGUAAAGCGCAUGCAGGCGGCCUGUUAAGUCAGAUGUGAAAGCCCGGGGCUUAACCUCGGAAUUGCAUUUGAAACUGGCAGGCUAGAGUCUUGUAGAGGGGGUAGAAUUUCAGGUGUAGCGGUGAAAUGCGUAGAGAUCUGAAGGAAUACCAGUGGCGAAGGCGGCCCCCUGGACAAAGACUGACGCUCAGAUGCGAAAGCGUGGGGAGCAAACAGGAUUAGAUACCCUGGUGA